UAGAGUUUGAUCCUGGUUCAGGUUGAACGCUGGCGGCAUGCCUUACACAUGCAAGUCGAACGGCAGCACGGGGGCAACCCUGGUGGCGAGUGGCGAACGGGUGAGUAAUAUAUCGGAACGUACCCAGUAGUGGGGGAUAACUAUCCGAAAGGAUAGCUAAUACCGCAUACGAUCUGUGGAUGAAAGCAGGGGAUCUUCGGACCUUGUGCUAUUGGAAUGGCCGAUAUCUGAUUAGCUAGUUGGUAGGGUAAAAGCCUACCAAGGCGACGAUCAGUAGCUGGUCUGAGAGGACGACCAGCCACACUGGAACUGAGACACGGUCCAGACUCCUACGGGAGGCAGCAGUGGGGAAUUUUGGACAAUGGGGGCAACCCUGAUCCAGCAAUGCCGCGUGAGUGAAGAAGGCCCUCGGGUUGUAAAGCUCUUUUGUCAGGGAAGAAACGGUGAUCUCUAAUAUAGAUUGCUAAUGACGGUACCUGAAGAAUAAGCACCGGCUAACUACGUGCCAGCAGCCGCGGUAAUACGUAGGGUGCAAGCGUUAAUCGGAAUUACUGGGCGUAAAGCGUGCGCAGGCGGUUUUGUAAGUCUGAUGUGAAAUCCCCGGGCUCAACCUGGGAACUGCAUUGGAGACUGCAAGGCUAGAGUGUGUCAGAGGGGGGUAGAAUUCCACGUGUAGCAGUGAAAUGCGUAGAGAUGUGGAGGAAUACCGAUGGCGAAGGCAGCCCCCUGGGAUAACACUGACGCUCAUGCACGAAAGCGUGGGGGAGCAAACAGGAUUAGAUACCC
Molecule: ribosomal RNA, 786 nt
Filed under: uncultured bacterium
Lineage: Bacteria
Description: bacterial SSU rRNA
Rfam family: Bacterial small subunit ribosomal RNA
Source: RNAcentral